GUGGGGAAUAUUGCACAAUGGGCGCAAGCCUGAUGCAGCAACGCCGCGUGAGGGAUGACGGCCUUCGGGUUGUAAACCUCUUUUAGUAGGGAAGAAGCGAAAGUGACGGUACCUGCAGAAAAAGCACCGGCUAACUACGUGCCAGCAGCCGCGGUAAUACGUAGGGUGCAAGCGUUGUCCGGAAUUAUUGGGCGGAAAGAGCUCGUAGGCGGCUUGUCGCGUCUGCUGUGAAAUCCCGGGGCUCAACCCCGGGCCUGCAGUGGGUACGGGCAGGCUAGAGUGCGGUAGGGGAGAGUGGAAUUCCUGGUGUAGCGGUGGAAUGCGCAGAUAUCAGGAGGAACACCGAUGGCGAAGGCAGAUCUCUGGGCCGCUACUGACGCUGAGGAGCGAAAGCAUGGGGAGCGAACAGGAUUAGAUACCCUGGUAGUCC
RNAcentral lists this ribosomal RNA (430 nucleotides) under uncultured bacterium. RNAcentral describes it as "partial 16S ribosomal RNA". It matches the Rfam family "Bacterial small subunit ribosomal RNA", at positions 354 to 796 of the family's 1533-position model. The record is from RNAcentral.